This 115-nucleotide transfer RNA is filed under the name Salmonella enterica. RNAcentral's name for it is "tRNA-Glu". The stretch from base 1 to 73 matches the Rfam family "tRNA". From Rfam's summary of the family: Transfer RNA (tRNA) molecules are approximately 80 nucleotides in length. Their secondary structure includes four short double-helical elements and three loops (D, anti-codon, and T loops). The record is from RNAcentral. Lineage: Bacteria; Pseudomonadati; Pseudomonadota; Gammaproteobacteria; Enterobacterales; Enterobacteriaceae.
GUCCCCUUCGUCUAGAGGCCCAGGACACCGCCCUUUCACGGCGGUAACAGGGGUUCGAAUCCCCUAGGGGACGCCAGCGUUCAAACUGAUGAGGUCAAACCUCCAGGGGACGCCA